GACUGCUCCUGAGAUAGCGGCGGACGGGUGAGUAACACGUGGGCAACCUGCCUGUAAGACUGGGAUAACUUCGGGAAACCGGAGCUAAUACCGGAUAAUCCAUUCCCUCUCAUGAGGGAAUGCUGAAAGACGGCAUCUCGCUGUCACUUACAGAUGGGCCCGCGGCGCAUUAGCUAGUUGGUGAGGUAACGGCUCACCAAGGCCACGAUGCGUAGCCGACCUGAGAGGGUGAUCGGCCACACUGGGACUGAGACACGGCCCAGCAGCAGUAGGGAAUCUUCCGCAAUGGACGAAAGUCUGACGGAGCAACGCCGCGUGAGCGAUGAAGGCCUUCGGGUCGUAAAGCUCUGUUGUCAGGGAAGAACAAGUACCGGAGUAACUGCCGGUACCUUGACGGUACCUGACCAGAAAGCCACGGCUAACUACGUGCCAGCAGCCGCGGUAAUACGUAGGUGGCAAGCGUUGUCCGGAAUUAUUGGGCGUAAAGCGCGCGCAGGCGGUCCUUUAAGUCUGAUGUGAAAGCCCACGGCUCAACCGUGGAGGGUCAUUGGAAACUGGGGGACUUGAGUGCAGAAGAGGAGAGUGGAAUUCCACGUGUAGCGGUGAAAUGCGUAGAGAUGUGGAGGAACACCAGUGGCGAAGGCGACUCUGUGGUCUGUAACUGACGGUGAGGCGCGAAAGCGUGGGGAGCGAACAGGAUUAGAUACCCUGGGUAGUCCACGCCGUACACGAUGAGUGCUAAGUGUUAGAGGGUUUCCGCCCUUUAGUGCUGCAGCAAACGCAUUAAGCACUCCGCCUGGGGAGUACGGCCGCAAGGCUGAAACUCAAAGGAAUUGACGGGGGCCCGCACAAGCGGUGGAGCAUGUGGUUUAAUUCGAAGCAACGCGAAGAACCUUACCAGGUCUUGACAUCCUCUGACAACCCUAGAGAUAGGGCGUUCCCCUUCGGGGGACAGAGUGACAGGUGGUGCAUGGUUGUCGUCAGCUCGUGUCGUGAGAUGUUGGGUUAAGUCCCGCAACGAGCGCAACCCUUGUCCUUAGUUGCCAGCAUUCAGUUGGGCACUCUAGGGAGACUGCCGGUGACAAACCGGAGGAAGGUGGGGAUGACGUCAAAUCAUCAUGCCCCUUAUGACCUGGGCUACACACGUGCUACAAUGGAUAGAACAAAGGGCAGCGAAGCCGCGAGGUGAAGCCAAUCCCAUAAAUCUAUUCUCAGUUCGGAUUGCAGGCUGCAACUCGCCUGCAUGAAGCCGGAAUCGCUAGUAAUCGCGGAUCAGCAUGCCGCC
Molecule: ribosomal RNA, 1285 nt
Filed under: Mesobacillus foraminis
Lineage: Bacteria; Bacillati; Bacillota; Bacilli; Caryophanales; Bacillaceae
Description: bacterial SSU rRNA
Rfam family: Bacterial small subunit ribosomal RNA
Source: RNAcentral